GGUUGAUCCUGCCAGUAGUCAUAUGCUUGUCUCAAAGAUUAAGCCAUGCAUGUCUAAGUAUAAGCAAUCUAUACGGUGAAACUGCGAAUGGCUCAUUAAAUCAGUUAUCGUUUAUUUGAUAGUUCCUGUACUACAUGGUAUAACUGUGGUAAUUCUAGAGCUAAUACAUGCUGAAACUCCCGACCUCUGGAAGGGGGGUAUUUAUUAGAUAAAAAAUCAAUGUCUUCGGACUGUUUGAUGAUUCAUAAUAACUUGUCGAAUCGCAGGGCCUUGUGCUGGCGAUGGUUCAUUC
Molecule: ribosomal RNA, 292 nt
Filed under: uncultured eukaryote
Lineage: Eukaryota
Description: partial 18S ribosomal RNA
Rfam family: Eukaryotic small subunit ribosomal RNA
Source: RNAcentral